This 301-nucleotide ribosomal RNA is filed under the name uncultured bacterium. Its description in RNAcentral is "partial 16S ribosomal RNA". It matches the Rfam family "Bacterial small subunit ribosomal RNA", at positions 509 to 807 of the family's 1533-position model. The record is from RNAcentral.
CAGCAGCCGCGGGAAUACAGAGGAUGCAAGCGUUAUCCGGAAUGAUUGGGCGUAAAGCGUCUGUAGGUGGCUUUUCAAGUCCGCCGUCAAAUCCCAGGGCCCAACCCUGGACAGGCGGUGGAAACUACCAAGCUGGAGUACGGUAGGGGCAGAGGGAAUUUCCAGUGGAGCGAUGAAAUGCGUUGAGAUCGAAAAGAACACCAACAGCGAAAGCACUCUGCUGGGACGACACUGACACUAAGAGACGAAAGCUAGGGGAGCAAAUGGGAUUAGAUACCCCCGUAGUCCCUGUCUCUUAUAC